This 71-nucleotide transfer RNA is filed under the name Marmota monax (woodchuck). RNAcentral describes it as "tRNA.Ala". It matches the Rfam family "tRNA". Rfam says of the family: Transfer RNA (tRNA) molecules are approximately 80 nucleotides in length. Their secondary structure includes four short double-helical elements and three loops (D, anti-codon, and T loops). The record is from RNAcentral. Lineage: Eukaryota; Metazoa; Chordata; Mammalia; Rodentia; Sciuridae.
GGGGUUGUGGCUUAGCGGCAGAGCGCUCACCUAGCAAGUGUGAGGCCCUGGGUUCAAUCCUCAGCACCACA